CACUCCUGCGGGAGGCAGCAGUGGGGAAUUUUGGACAAUGGGCGAAAGCCUGAUCCAGCAAUGCCGCGUGUGUGAAGAAGGCCUUCGGGUUGUAAAGCACUUUUGUCCGGAAAGAAAUCCUUGGCUCUAAUACAGUCGGGGGAUGACGGUACCGGAAGAAUAAGCACCGGCUAACUACGUGCCAGCAGCCGCGGUAAUACGUAGGGUGCGAGCGUUAAUCGGAAUUACUGGGCGUAAAGCGUGCGCAGGCGGUUUGCUAAGACCGAUGUGAAAUCCCCGGGCUCAACCUGGGAACUGCAUUGGUGACUGGCAGGCUAGAGUAUGGCAGAGGGGGGUAGAAUUCCACGUGUAGCAGUGAAAUGCGUAGAGAUGUGGAGGAAUACCGAUGGCGAAGGCAGCCCCCUGGGCCAAUACUGACGCUCAUGCACGAAAGCGUGGGGAGCAAACAGGAUUAGAAACCCGAGUAGUCCCA
RNAcentral lists this ribosomal RNA (472 nucleotides) under uncultured organism. RNAcentral's name for it is "partial 16S ribosomal RNA". It matches the Rfam family "Bacterial small subunit ribosomal RNA", at positions 334 to 797 of the family's 1533-position model. The record is from RNAcentral.